AUUGAACGCUGGCGGCAUGCUUUACACAUGCAAGUCGAACGGUAGCAGGGUGCUUGCACCGCUGACGAGUGGCGAACGGGUGAGUAAUGCGUCGGAACGUGCCGAGUAGUGGGGGAUAACGCAGCGAAAGUUGUGCUAAUACCGCAUACGUACUGAGGUAGAAAGUGGGGGACCUUCGGGCCUCACGCUAUUCGAGCGGCCGACGUCUGAUUAGCUAGUAGGUGAGGUAAAGGCUCACCUAGGCGACGAUCAGUAGCGGGUCAGAGAGGAUGAUCCGCCACACUGGGACUGAGACACGGCCCAGACUCCUACGGGAGGCAGCAGUGGGGAAUUUUGGACAAUGGGCGAAAGCCUGAUCCAGCCAUGCCGCGUGUCUGAAGAAGGCCUUCGGGUUGUAAAGGACUUUUGUCAGGGAGGAAAUCCCUAGUGCUAAUAACACUGGGGGAUGACAGUACCUGAAGAAUAAGCACCGGCUAACUACGUGCCAGCAGCCGCAGUAA
RNAcentral lists this ribosomal RNA (500 nucleotides) under uncultured bacterium. Its description in RNAcentral is "partial 16S ribosomal RNA". It matches the Rfam family "Bacterial small subunit ribosomal RNA", at positions 30 to 523 of the family's 1533-position model. The record is from RNAcentral.